UAGGGAAUCUUCGGCAAUGGGGGGAACCCUGACCGAGCAACGCCGCGUGAGUGAAGAAGGUUUUCGGAUCGUAAAGCUCUGUUGUUAAGGAAGAACGAGUGUGAGAAUGGAAAGUUCAUACUGUGACGGUACUUAACCAGAAAGGGACGGCUAACUACGUGCCAGCAGCCGCGGUAAUACGUAGGUCCCGAGCGUUGUUCGGAUUUAUUGGGCGUAAAGCGAGCGCAGGCGGUUAGAUAAGUCUGAAGUUAAAGGCAGUGGCUCAACCAUUGUAGGCUUUGGAAACUGUUUAACUUGAGUGCAGAAGGGGAGAGUGGAAUUCCAUGUGUAGCGGUGAAAUGCGUAGAUAUAUGGAGGAACACCGGUGGCGAAAGCGGCUCUCUGGUCUGUAACUGACGCUGAGGCUCGAAAGCGUGGGGAGCGAACAGGAUUAGAUACCCUGGUAGUCCACGCCGUAAACGAUGAGUGCUAGGUGUUAGGUCCUUUCCGGGACUUAGUGCCGCAGCUAACGCAUUAAGCACUCCGCCUGGGGAGUACGACCGCAAGGUUG
This 550-nucleotide ribosomal RNA is filed under the name uncultured bacterium. Its description in RNAcentral is "bacterial SSU rRNA". It matches the Rfam family "Bacterial small subunit ribosomal RNA", at positions 355 to 896 of the family's 1533-position model. The record is from RNAcentral.